GCAGAGUCAAAUGGUUUUUAAAAAGAAUUCUAAGAACUCCUGAGAUCCCAAACAUGUUGCCCUGCUGGACGCUAGAUUAUUUUUGAUCUUGCACAUGCCACAUAUUUGUCUACAGCUGUGCAAGUCUGAAAGGCACCCAUCUUUUAUCUGUCCAGUGAGGGUCAUUGGUGGAAGGUGCUUACAUUUUAAAGAGCUCUCUUAAUGGCAUGACUCAUGCAAGGCCACGCCCAUCCUCCAGACUGCUGCAGCCCACAGAAAAGCUGUCCUGUGCAGUCUCCAAGGAGACCUCUGGGCCAGUUACCUUGGUGAUGCAUUCCCUGUCAGCCCAGCUGAUGCCUCGGGACUGAGAUAUUCACUGUGACACACUUUACACACUUUACUUACAGGAACCUUGACUAUAGCUUUUCUCUAAACAUUUCUGAUGAUUUCAGAAACUGAGAACUUAUUUUUCUAUAGUUAUUUUAGUUUUCCGAUGUUAGACUGACAGUUUGAGAAAGAUUGCAUCAGGGCAUUUAAUAACUAUUUUUCCUAGUAAUGGACUACAGCAAAGGCCAUCUUUCCAGAACUGAUUUUUUCCAGUGCAACGUGGGGUUGAUAUUGUGAUCCUCCUGUUUUGCCCUCUCCAAUCUGUUCAUGCUAAAGCAUCCAGAAUGAACAUUCUAAAACAAAAAUCCCACUUGUCACUCUCCUAUGCAGAAUGAAGUCCAUGCAUCUUAGCAUGAUCUGUGUGACCCAUCCCCUCUGGCCCCUGCCCACUUCUCCAGCCUGCCUCUUGACUACACCAUCUUCAUGUCCUGUGUUUCAGCCAAACACCUCUUAGUCCAAAUUUCUUCCUCCUCCUUCCCCGCCUUCACACCCACCCACUCCCCAACUCAUCCAUGUGACAGGCUCCUCCUUGAACUUCAGGUCUCCAUUUAAGAUUCCAUUUCUUGUGGAAGUUCUUUCUGGAUUUUUCUAAGGAAGAGCCCCUCCUAGAGGGUCUCAUAGUUGUAUUAAAUUACUCUUUUACAGCACUUCCCAUUAGUACUUGAUCUACGUAUAUUUCUGUCUUAUUCCCUAAGAAUAAAGAACAUGCCGUUCCAGGGCAGGAACUAUGUCUUGUUCAAAAGUAUAGGAAUACUUAUAGGAAGAGAAACCUAGAAACAGGAGGCACUUACCUGGCCCACAAAUGGCUAGUUAUUUCUUGCCUUUCUUACUCUUCUCCACCUAUAACUUUCCUCUUGACAAAUAAUAGUAAUAAUUUUUUAUGGGGUCUCAGUCCUGACCCAUCUCCCUUCCAUCCGGUCUGGUAGAGUAUAUCCACAUAUAGGUGAC
This 1314-nucleotide long non-coding RNA is filed under the name Marmota monax (woodchuck). Lineage: Eukaryota; Metazoa; Chordata; Mammalia; Rodentia; Sciuridae. The record is from RNAcentral.